RNAcentral lists this unclassified non-coding RNA (198 nucleotides) under uncultured Conocybe. Its description in RNAcentral is "sequence contains ITS2". The record is from RNAcentral. Lineage: Eukaryota; Fungi; Basidiomycota; Agaricomycetes; Agaricales; Bolbitiaceae.
AAUUCUCAAUCUCUACAACCUUGUGUUGUUAGUGGAUUGGAUGUGGGGGUUUUGUGGGCAUAUCUAUUAUAUCCACUCCUCUGAAAAUUAUUAGCUGGAAUGCCUUUGCAAAACCAACUAUCAGUAUGAUAAUUAUCUACUCUGAUGUUGUUGUGAAGGGAAUCUGCUUUCAAACCGUCAUUCUGACAAUUUGAAUCC